CCUCUUGCAAAAUCAAUGUAUAAGAGGUCUCGCCUGCCCUGUGACUAUAUGUUUAACGGCCGCGGUAUUUUGACCGUGCAAAGGUAGCGCAAUCACUUGUUUUUUAAAUGGAGACCUGUAUGAAUGGCAUCACGAGGGCUUAACUGUCUCCCCUCCCCAGUCAAUGAAAUUGAUCUUCCCGUGCAGAAGCGGGAAUAAAAACAUAAGACGAGAAGACCCUAUGGAGCUUAAGAUACCAAGACAGCUCAUGUUAAGCACCCCAAAAUAAAAGAAUAAAACCAAAUGAACUCUGUCUUAAUGUCUUUGGUUGGGGCGACCGCGGGGAAAUACAAAACCCCCAUGUGGAGUAGGAGUACAAUAUUCCCAAAUUCAAGAGUUCCCACUCUAAUAAACAGAAUUUCUGACCUAUAAGAUCCGGCAAUGCCGAUCAACGAACCGAGUUACCCUAGGGAUAACAGCGCAAUCCCCUUAAAGAGCCCUUAUCGACAAGGGGGUUUACGACCUCGAUGUUGGAUCAGGACAUCCUAAUGGUGCAGCCGCUAUUAAGGGUUCGUUUGUUCAACGAUUAAAGUCCU
RNAcentral lists this ribosomal RNA (575 nucleotides) under Calamus nodosus. Its description in RNAcentral is "partial 16S ribosomal RNA". It matches the Rfam family "Bacterial large subunit ribosomal RNA", at positions 1819 to 2597 of the family's 2925-position model. Lineage: Eukaryota; Metazoa; Chordata; Actinopteri; Spariformes; Sparidae. The record is from RNAcentral.